UGCAAGUCGAGCGGUAACAUUUCUAGCUUGCUAGAAGAUGACGAGCGGCGGACGGGUGAGUAACGCGUAGGAAUCUGCCUAGUAGUGGGGGACAACAUGUGGAAACGCAUGCUAAUACCGCAUACGCCCUACGGGGGAAAGGAGGGGAUCUUCGGACCUUUCGCUAUUAGAUGAGCCUGCGUGAGAUUAGCUAGUUGGUGAGGUAAAGGCUCACCAAGGCGACGAUCUCUAGCUGGUCUGAGAGGAUGAUCAGCCACACUGGGACUGAGACACGGCCCAGACUCCUACGGGAGGCAGCAGUGGGGAAUAUUGGACAAUGGGCGCAAGCCUGAUCCAGCCAUGCCGCGUGUGUGAAGAAGGCCUUAGGGUUGUAAAGCACUUUCAGGAGUGAGGAAGGGUGUACGGUUAAUACCCGUAUAUUUUGACGUUAGCUCCAGAAGAAGCACCGGCUAACUCUGUGCCAGCAGCCGCGGUAAUACAGAGGGUGCAAGCGUUAAUCGGAAUUACUGGGCGUAAAGCGCGCGUAGGUGGUUUGUUAAGUCGGAUGUGAAAUCCCAGGGCUCAACCUUGGAAUUGCACCCGAUACUGGCAGGCUAGAGUACGGUAGAGGGGUGUGGAAU
This 620-nucleotide ribosomal RNA is filed under the name uncultured Marinomonas sp. Its description in RNAcentral is "bacterial SSU rRNA". It matches the Rfam family "Bacterial small subunit ribosomal RNA", at positions 56 to 667 of the family's 1533-position model. Lineage: Bacteria; Pseudomonadati; Pseudomonadota; Gammaproteobacteria; Oceanospirillales; Oceanospirillaceae. The record is from RNAcentral.